Molecule: long non-coding RNA, 1243 nt
Filed under: Manihot esculenta (cassava)
Lineage: Eukaryota; Viridiplantae; Streptophyta; Magnoliopsida; Malpighiales; Euphorbiaceae
Description: long non-coding RNA (MESC_LNC012962)
Source: RNAcentral
UUAGCCGAAAUGGGCGAGUUUUCUCCCAUUUUCGGCCACAGCAAGCUUCCGACCUUCCCUUUGCAACUCUUGUGUUCUUCCUCCAAAUCUCUUCCAUUUUUCUUGAGUUUUAAACUCACAUUGCAAGUUUUGAGCAUUUAAACCAAGUUUUGGAGCUUUGGGAACUCAGGAGCUCAUUUUCGUGGAUCUCCAAGUUUAGGUCGUCUCCCUCUCGAUCUUCAAGAGGUAAGAGCCGAUCUUAAGCUCCUUAUGUAUUCUAAAUAAGUUUUAAGCAAGAUCUAUGGGUAGAAAUGCAUGUUAGGUUAUAUGUUGAGUUAUGGGUUAAUAUUGAUGUUUUGGACAAUGUGUGUUGAUUGUGUGUGUUUGAAGUGUUGUAGUUGGGGUAUAUGACUGUUUGAGACCCCUAGGAACUUGUAUGCAUGUUUUGGUUGAGACUUAUGCAUGAUUUGAGGUUUUAGGAGGCAAGGGGUUCAUGUGAACCAAGUUUCUGCCCUUCUGGCAGAAACCAGGUUCGGCCGCCGAAGGGAGUUUCGGCCGCCGAACCCCCUUGUGGAGGCAGCAUUCGGCUGCCGAAGCUUGCCCCCGAAAGAAGACUUUCGGAUCUGUCUGGGACUUUCGGCCGCCGAAGGUGCCGCCGAAAGUGCCCGACUUUCGGCUCUAGAGGGGCUUUCAGCCGCCGAACCUGCCGCCGAAAGUGCCCUGUUCAGCCAUUUCUUGCAUGUUUUUAUGUGAUGUUUUCAUGGUGUUUUAGGGGGUUUUUGGGGAGUAGUUUAUGGUUAUGUUCAGGUAUGUUUGGUCCCUCAUUUGAGUCCACCUGUGUAGGUUCGGACCCGAGGAACCGAGGACCCCAGCAGUGAGUCCAGCUGCUUCGGUGCUGUCAGAGUCUGCCAGAGGUGAGUGGAACUAAACUAUAUCUUUUAGAUUAAAUGUUUUAUCAUGUUUCAUGCAUCAUGAUCAUGCAAUAGGGUGAUUGCAUUAGUUUCACGAAUAUGCCGCAUUGCAUCAUGUGUUGUUGAUGUGGGUGAAUGUUGGAUGACCCAAUUAGUCCAUGACAGGAAGACCAGGACCCCAUUCUACGGCCUGGCACGGAAAUGAAAGACCAGGACCCCAUUCUACGGCCUGGCACGAUUGUGGACUCGAAGACCAGGAGUCCAGAGGAGGCCCUGGAAUAAUGGUAAGUAAUGUAUGUAUGACAGGAAGACCAGGACCCCAUGCUACGGCCUGGCACCAUGUUAGCUUGGAC